This 460-nucleotide ribosomal RNA is filed under the name uncultured bacterium. RNAcentral's name for it is "partial 16S ribosomal RNA". It matches the Rfam family "Bacterial small subunit ribosomal RNA", at positions 338 to 795 of the family's 1533-position model. The record is from RNAcentral.
CCUACGGGAGGCAGCAGUGAGGAAUAUUGGUCAAUGGGCGGAAGCCUGAACCAGCCAAGUAGCGUGCAGGAUGACGGCCCUACGGGUUGUAAACUGCUUUUAUACGGGAAUAACGCGCCUUACGUGUAGGGCUUUGCAUGUACCGUAUGAAUAAGGACCGGCUAAUUCCGUGCCAGCAGCCGCGGUAAUACGGAAGGUCCGGGCGUUAUCCGGAUUUAUUGGGUUUAAAGGGAGCGUAGGCCGCAUGUCAAGCGUGCUGUGAAAUGUCCGGGCUCAACCCGGGCCUUGCAGCGCGAACUGGGGUGCUUGAGUCCGCGGAAGGCAGGCGGAAUUCGUCGUGUAGCGGUGAAAUGCUUAGAUAUGGCGAAGAACCCCGAUUGCGAAGGCAGCUUGCUGCAGCGGAACUGACGCUGAUGCUCGAAAGCGCGGGUAUUGAACAGGAUUAGAUACCCCAGUAGUC